GGAUGAACGCUGGCGGCGUGCCUAAUACAUGCAAGUCGAGCGAACAGACGAGGAGCUUGCUCCUCUGACGUUAGCGGCGGACGGGUGAGUAACACGUGGAUAACCUACCUAUACGACUGGGAUAACUUCGGGAAACCGGAGCUAAUACCGGAUAAUAUAUUGAACCGCAUGGUUCAAUAGUGAAAGACGGUUUUGCUGUCACUUAUAGAUGGAUCCGCGCCGCAUUAGCUAGUUGGUAAGGUAACGGCUUACCAAGGCAACGAUGCGUAGCCGACCUGAGAGGGUGAUCGGCCACACUGGAACUGAGACACGGUCCAGACUCCUACGGGAGGCAGCAGUAGGGAAUCUUCCGCAAUGGGCGAAAGCCUGACGGAGCAACGCCGCGUGAGUGAUGAAGGUCUUCGGAUCGUAAAACUCUGUUAUUAGGGAAGAACAAAUGUGUAAGUAACUAUGCACGUCUUGACGGUACCUAAUCAGAAAGCCACGGCUAACUACGUG
RNAcentral lists this ribosomal RNA (498 nucleotides) under uncultured bacterium. Its description in RNAcentral is "partial 16S ribosomal RNA". It matches the Rfam family "Bacterial small subunit ribosomal RNA", at positions 27 to 507 of the family's 1533-position model. The record is from RNAcentral.